This 208-nucleotide ribosomal RNA is filed under the name uncultured bacterium. Its description in RNAcentral is "partial 16S ribosomal RNA". It matches the Rfam family "Bacterial small subunit ribosomal RNA", at positions 568 to 775 of the family's 1533-position model. The record is from RNAcentral.
CUCGUAGGCGGUUCGUCGCGUCCGGUGUGAAAGUCCAUCGCUUAACGGUGGAUCCGCGCCGGGUACGGGCGGGCUUGAGUGCGGUAGGGGAGACUGGAAUUCCCGGUGUAACGGUGGAAUGUGUAGAUAUCGGGAAGAACACCAAUGGCGAAGGCAGGUCUCUGGGCCGUUACUGACGCUGAGGAGCGAAAGCGUGGGGAGCGAACAG